CACGCCGUCACACCAUGGAGUCAGUUGCUCUAGAAGUCGGUGCGCCAACCUCGAGGCAGCCGCCUAAAGAGUGACUGGUGACUGGGGUG
Molecule: ribosomal RNA, 89 nt
Filed under: uncultured bacterium
Lineage: Bacteria
Description: partial 16S ribosomal RNA
Source: RNAcentral